Eubalaena glacialis (North Atlantic right whale) is the source of this 1374-nucleotide long non-coding RNA. RefSeq lists it as uncharacterized. The transcript has 3 exons. The record is from RefSeq and is a predicted model, not a curated record. NCBI's taxonomy places the organism in Eukaryota, Metazoa, Chordata, Mammalia, Artiodactyla, Balaenidae.
CUCCUAGACCAAGAUGGCGGCGGGGGCGGGCCCCGGAGCGCGCGGGAGUAGGACAGGCCUGGCGGGAGAGGCUCGAGCCAAUCCAACAGGCAGCGGCGCGCCGGAGUCAUCGAUCGCCGCCCUUCCCCGCCUGCUGCCCAGCCCUGCCCCUCAGGUCACCUUACAGGUGGGGGUGUUUUGGCCCGUAUUUAACCCGCGAGGGACUUGAAAUUCAAAAUAUAUCAAUGGCAGUCUCAUUAUCCUUUGGUAAUUCUGGAUUUUCCGCCAAGAUUGUUUUAAAAACUCGUUUGGCAGUAUUCCAGAUGAACUUUUAUUACUUCUUCAAAAUCCUAUCCAAGGGCUUCCCUGGUGGCGCAGUGGUUGAGAAUCUGCCUGCCAAUGCAGGGGACACGGGUUCGAGCCCUGGUCUGGGAAGAUCCCACAUGCCGCGGAGCAACUGGGCCCGUGAGCCACAAUUACUGAGCCUGCGCGUCUGGAGCCUGUGCUCCGCAACAAGAGAGGCCGCGAUAGUGAGAGGCCCGCGCACCGCGAUGAAGAGUGGCCCCCGCUUGCCGCAACUAGAGAAAGCCCUCGCACAGAAACGAAGACCCAACGCAGCCAAAAAUAAAUAAAUAAAUAAAUUAAAAAAAAAAAAAAAAAAAAAAUCCUAUCCAAAUGCCAUCUCUUGUGAAAUGAUCUUUGCUUCUUUUGAGCAGUUAAUUUCUUGAAUCAUUUCUACUUCCCUGUUCCCAUAGUGCACGGAACACAUUUCUACCAUGCAUAGUAUUGUAUCCUUUUCAUUUCUGUCUCCUCCAUGUAGACUGUGAUGGGUCUGAAUGUUUUAAGGACUUUUAAUACAUAAUACCAGCUUGCUCUCUAGAAAGGUUUGCACUAAUAAACACUCCACCAUCAGUAUGAGUACCAUUUUUCUUCCACUCCAACAAACACUAGAUAGAAUAAUUUUUUAAAUUUUUGCUUAUUUGGUAGACCAAAAUUGGCAUCUCAUUAUUAUUCAAACUUACAUCACAUUGUGGUGAAACAUUGAACAAUACGUUUUGUGUAAUAAUGGCUAUUUGUGUUUUGAACUAGUCAUAUUUUGAGGUUGAUUCAAUUCUGUUAUUUUAUUAUUAAGCAUCCCACCCACUCCAACCUCUUACCCCAUUCUGUUUAGCACUCCUGGGGAUUAUAAGUACUUAUUUUGCAAAACAUCGCACUAUGGUGAUCUGAUUAAGUUACUUCAUGGGAAGGUACUAUUAAGGCCAUAACAUUUUCCUGGAAAACAGCAGUGCUGACUUAAUUCUUAGUGCUUAUCUCUGCCCAGUCACACUACUUCUGAAUUACACAUCACUACCAGUAAGUCCAAUAAAAAUUUAUUCCAAAUGACGUAUCACUAAU